GCGCAUUGUCUGCUCUUCUCCGCUCUCUUCCCCUCCACCCCCAAGGGCUCUCACCAAAACAAAGCGCACGUGCGCGGCUUUAGAACUAGCCGCGGAGCCGUUGGAGGAGUCGCGGGACGAGCCGAGCCGAGCAGGUGAUGGGGGCGUGGCUGCCCUUAGGCCGGCAGGACCUUCUCCCUCAGCUGGAGCAGGGCACCCACCCAAGUCUGUUUGGGCAAGGAGGACCCUGAACACUGGCCAAAAAGAAAAGGCUCAGGGACAACCUGCUGCAGGACAUACAUAGGGACUUUCCACAAAGGAUAAGGGAGCAGUGUCUAGAUUAUGGGAAGGAACCGGUCUCUUGCCAGCCCUCUUAUUUGCCGGAAAGAUGGGCCUGAGUAAAAACCCCGAACUCAAACACCACUGAACUUCGAGGAAGUCUGGAUCUGAAUUCAAACUUUGUAGAUAUCUUUUCCUGGAUAAUGGAGCAAACAGUAUUUCUGGAUCCGAACACCCCUGAUUUUGGGGCAAGUUUAGGUCCAGAUCAGACCCAUCUCUAAUUUUGACCUGUAAGUCUGUCCCCCAGACAUUCUUCUUUCAUUGUUGGCCUUCUAUUUAGCUAUAGAGGCAUUUCUCCAAUCAACCUUUGUUGUGCAUUUUGAAUUGGGCAUCUUUUCAUUGACUUGAGUUGGACUGGGCCCUUAGAAAACAUGUUUCCCAUUUGCUUCCU
This is a long non-coding RNA of Mauremys reevesii (Reeves's turtle), 709 nucleotides long. RefSeq lists it as uncharacterized. NCBI's taxonomy places the organism in Eukaryota, Metazoa, Chordata, Testudines, Geoemydidae. The record is from RefSeq and is a predicted model, not a curated record. The transcript is spliced from 3 exons.